UCGAGCGCAAGGAGCAAGUUGAUCCCCUUCGGGGGUGACGCUUGUGGAAUGAGCGGCGGACGGGUGAGUAACACGUGGGCAACCUGCCUGUAAGACUGGGAUAACCCCGGGAAACCGGGGCUAAUACCGGAUAAUACUUUCUUUUGCAUAAAGGAAAGUUGAAAGGCGGCUUCGGCUGUCACUUACAGAUGGGCCCGCGGCGCAUUAGCUAGUUGGUGAGGUAACGGCUCACCAAGGCGACGAUGCGUAGCCGACCUGAGAGGGUGAUCGGCCACACUGGGACUGAGACACGGCCCAGACUCCUACGGGAGGCAGCAGUAGGGAAUCUUCCGCAAUGGACGAAAGUCUGACGGAGCAACGCCGCGUGAGUGAUGAAGGUUUUCGGAUCGUAAAACUCUGUUGUUAGGGAAGAACAAGUUGGGUAGUAACUGACCCAACCUUGACGGUACCUAACCAGAAAGCCACGGCU
RNAcentral lists this ribosomal RNA (469 nucleotides) under Oceanobacillus picturae. RNAcentral describes it as "bacterial SSU rRNA". It matches the Rfam family "Bacterial small subunit ribosomal RNA", at positions 42 to 498 of the family's 1533-position model. Lineage: Bacteria; Bacillati; Bacillota; Bacilli; Caryophanales; Bacillaceae. The record is from RNAcentral.